CUGCCAAGCCUCGAUAUCCUUCCAAGUGCAUGGGUUCGGUGAGCCACUUGGCUACGAGGUGGGACUUACCUCCGCCUGCGUGGGAGGCGUACAGGAUGAUACUGUGCUUAUCGUCAGACAUCACGCUUGCUUGUGCGGGAGUGAAUUGGAACGUCAUUUGCAACCUCCAUUACGGGUUGAGAAAGUAAAAAGCCCCAGCGAAGAUC
This 206-nucleotide non-coding RNA is filed under the name Pseudomonas phage PAK_P3. RNAcentral also lists the same sequence under 2 other names. Lineage: Duplodnaviria; Heunggongvirae; Uroviricota; Caudoviricetes; Vandenendeviridae. The record is from RNAcentral.